RNAcentral lists this ribosomal RNA (253 nucleotides) under uncultured bacterium. RNAcentral's name for it is "partial 16S ribosomal RNA". It matches the Rfam family "Bacterial small subunit ribosomal RNA", at positions 524 to 776 of the family's 1533-position model. The record is from RNAcentral.
UACGGAGGGCGCAAGCGUUGUUCGGAAUCAUUGGGCGUAAAGCGCGUGCAGGCGGCUUGGUAAGUCGGGUGUGAAAGACCGGGGCUCAACCCCGGAACUGCACCCGAUACUGCCUCGCUAGAGUCUCGGAGAGGAUGGCGGAAUUUCCGGUGUAGAGGUGAAAUUCGUAGAUAUCGGAAGGAACACCAGCGGCGAAGGCGGCCAUCUGGACGGUGACUGACGCUCAGAAGCGAAAGCGUGGGGAGCAAACAGG